UUCCUCCAUCAUCAAACGAGCUUUAAGAUCACUUAUUACAGCCUCCAAACAAUUGACAUACUCUUCCUCAACAUGUGGAUCCGGUCUUCUGUAUCGUUGUUGUCUCUCAUAAUUAGAUCCUUCUCCCUCAACAAGUUGGAUGCCGUAGGUCUGCAUACUUUUGUUUAUAUCUUCAAUCUUAGAUCCGAUAGAUGUGAUCUGGGUUCCUAUACUGUGGAGAUAGGAAGCCUUAGUGAACAUGAAAAAAGCCUUGUUAAUGAACCCGCGUACACCUUCUCCUCUACCCCUUGCAACUUUAAGAAGAAAGGUAUCGAUGACAUCCUCAGAAUCAUAAGCGAGGUCUCUGAUUUCAGCUACCCAGUUGCGCACUCGCUCAUCUUCAUGAUGAUGACGGUCGGCAUCUUUCAAGAAGCAUUUCAUUCGCUUGAGUUCAGCUUGCAAUCGUUCAAGUUCACCCCGCACACCAUGCAGAAAAACUGCUUCUUGUAUGAGCAAAUCAGCAAUUCUUUGAAUAGCCUCAGAAACAACAGCCUCGGCCAUUCUUCUCGUUCCAGUGUCUUUUUUUUUUUUUUUGUUACCAAGAAGGGAAGAAUCGGAAGAGUUUGUUCUGCCUGAGAUAAGCAGUGUCUUUAACUCGUCAAAGGUCGUUAGCGGUGGUAAUUUAUUAUAGCAGAUUUCUGAUACUUUCCUUAAUGAAAGUUGCGGUUAGGGGUGAGCAUUCGGUCGGUUCGGUUCAAAACCGAACCGAACCGAAUAAACCGAAAACCGAAAUUUUAAUGUUUAUAAAACCGAACCGAACCGAUUUUGGUCAGAAACCGAAUCGAACCGAACCGGUCUGAUUCGGUUCGAUUCGGUUCUGUUUAAUCAGUUUCGAAUUUUAAUAAUUUUUUAUUUUUUAUAAUGAUUUAUUUUUUUUAGUAUUUUAAAAUUUAAUUAAAAUAUUUUAAUUUUAAUAUGAUUUAAUUUCUCUAUAUUAUUGAAAAAAUAUAUUAUUAUUACUAAUCGGUUCGGUUCGGUUUUUUCGGUUGUUUUCUGAUUAAAACCGAACCGAACCGAACCGAAAUCACCGAAAUUUUUGAAUUUAAAAACCGAACCGAAUUGAAAUAUAUAAAAAAUCAAACUAAAUUUUUAAAUCAAUUCGAUUCGAUCGAUUUUUUCGAUUGAACCGAAUACUGCUCAGCCCUAGUUACGGUGAAUAGACGCCAGCAAAGAUAAUUUCAAAAAAGAAAAAGAAAAAGCAAAGAUAAAUAUUCUUUGAGGAGUCAGUUGAGCAAUGAAUGGGGCCUCCGUUUUCCUGCUUUCUGCUUUUUUACUGUGACAAUAAUUAGAUUGGACAUAAAGGUGUCAGCUUUGAGAAUAAAGGUAUCAAUGAUGUCCUCUGCCUCGUAUGCGAUGUCUCUGAUUUCAGCUAUGCAAUUGCGAACGCGCUCAUCAUGGUCUUGCUUGCUAUCUGCAUCUUUCAAGAAGCACCGAAUCCGCUUCAGUUCAGUUUGCAACUGCUCAAUUCCCUGCCGCACGCCAUAAAGUGAGCUUGCUUCACGAACAACGGCAUCAGCAAUUCUUUCAAUGGCAAAGGUAACAAUAGCCUCAACCAUUGUGUUCUUUUUUUUUUUUUAAUAACCAAAGAGGUGAAAAAUAUCUCAACUUGUUUAGAUGAUACACUUUUGAUGGGUAUCUUUGCUUGAGGAAAUAAGGAAUUGCAUUUAGAACAUUUCAUUUUCUUCUUAAUCUUUCCCUAAUGUCUUCUGUGAUUAUUGAUUCUUUGCUAGGAACGAGAGCAAGAUACUAGGCUUUGGAGCAGAGCAAACCAAAAAUUAAAAGUGAAAAAGCAAUUAGCUUCCUCUUAUUUUUUGCUUAAAUAAAUAAUAGAUGAACAAUCUAAAGAUUCUCAACAUUUAAAGAGGUAAUAGAUGAACAAUGAAUAUAAUACAAAUUUUAAUAGUAAAGGAAGUAAUGAGAAGAAUUGGACUUUCAUUUACUAUAAAGAAAGCAGUAAUUUAUCUAUGUGAAUUAUUUUUUAUUUAUUUGUAAUUGACAAUUGAAACACUCUUUUUUAUCAAUUUUAUAAGUUCUUAUUUUUAUUUUAUGUGUUGAUCAAAUUAAUCAGAUAAUAGGAAUCAAUACAAUUAAUUGAUCAAAUUAAAAACUUUAAAGAUAAUAAUAAUUUUUCAUAUUACUUUAGACCAAUCCAAUCUGGUUCUUAGAAAAAUAAAAGGGUUAAGAUAUCAUGUAGUUUUCUUCUGCCCUUGUUAACUGAGUGAUAAAUCCAAGACAAUAAUGUUCAUACCCAAGAACAAAUUUAUUAUAUUAAACAAUGAGUUUGUUACAUGAUUUUCAGAAAGGGAAGAACAAGAAUUCUGCCUUGGAAGUGAUUUGUAGUUCAUUACAAGAAUUGUUCCUGUUUCCCCAAUGGCCUGGUUACAGAUAAAAUAAAGACAAAAAUUUUAAAGUUUCUGCCAAUUCAUUGUCAAAAUUCACUGAAGUUUAAACAGCUCCUCAAAUACACAACACAGAAAAUCAACAGCAUAUCACAUUUGUGGGAGCACAAUUGACAAGCGCUGCCAGAGAAUGAUCAAAAUCUUUUAUAACCAGCUUGCCUUCUAUAUCCCAAGCAUGCAACUGGACAGCUUCAACUAGGCCCCAUGUCUCACUAUUUGACUAAUCUCAGCACGUCACCCACAAGAUGUAAUGAGCCAGUAACAAGGACCUGAUGAAUCAUGAAGAAGAAGUUAAAUAUCUGAAUAUCAAGCAUAAACUAAUAUAAAUGCUGCUUAUAUGACAACACCUUAUUUGACUCAGAGCUGAAAGCAAUUCAUCAUCAAAUCCUCAGUCCUAGGUCAAUUUGCUAAGAGCAUAAUAGUACAUUAACAGCAAAGUUACUACUUCGUAUGCCCAAGUUCAGGGAAAGCUUGCAAGUGUUACAUGCUGCCUUAUUGAUGUGUCAACUUCAUAUACCAUCGGAUGAAUACCGAAGAAAACAACUGUGAUAUCUAACAAGGGUCUCACAGAAUAUAAAUAAAUGUGUUUUUUCCCACUUUUUGAAAUUAUCCAGUGAGUGGCCUGGCAAAUAUGUUGGAAAAAAUCAAAAGGGUCUGCUAGAAACAACAGCUUAUGAGCAGAAACAACAGCAAUGACACUGAUUAUUCAUGUCAAGUUAUUUGAUUAGAGGGUUCAUUAAAAAGGUGAAAUUCUUAUUACACAAUUGUCUGUUCCACAUAAAUCCCUAAAAUAACUUAUGCCACAAUACAAUAUGGGAAAUGAAAAAAGAAUUCACAAAUCAUAAAUUCAGUACGAGGAGUCCACUUCAACGAUAUUUUCAGAAAAUAAAUUUUUAUAUCGCAGGUUAUAUAAUAGAGCAGAUGCAUUAAUCAGCAUUACCUGAAUGCGAACAGAUCGAUUUUGAUAGACGCUGUCCCUGAGCCAUUUAAUAGCCAACGGAAGAGAAGGAAAGACUGCCAUGAUCAUUUAAUGCUGGCCCUCUGGAUUCUUGACAGGGUGAUUUGACCAGUGAUUUGGGCAAAUCACUUGGCCAGAUCACUUCUCCUUUGCAGUUGCUGGGCUGGUACUGUUCACGCCCUUUUCUGAUGAUGUGCUUGAUUUUGCGAUUGGACCGGUGAUCUUGGUCAAAUUAUCUGGGCAAUUGGGCAAAUCGGCAAAUCAUUGCCCCGAUCACUUGUGACUAUGGUACAUUCAGUCGAUUUGCCCAACGAUUUGGGCAAGCAGUGGGCAAAUCACUGGGCAAAUCACUACAUCUGGGCUGCCUCCCAGUAGCGCCCUGUUUUCUGUCUUGGGCUGGACUUCAGAAUAUUGUUCAGCAGUCUAAGGAAGGGGGAUCCAAAGGAACCUCCUCCACAACAUGGAUAGUAAAACCUUCAUAGAAUUUCUUCAAACGAUGCCCAUUAACUUUGAAAAUUUUGCUUGUUUGUGGACUCCGUAUGUCAAUAGCUCCAUGUGGAUAGACAUGCUCAACCAAGAAUGGUCCAAUCCAUCUAGACCGAAACUUUCCAGGGAAUAAUUUGAAUCUUGAAUCAAAAAGUAAGACCUUAUCACCAACCUGGAAGUGUUUUCUGGAGAUAUUUUUGUCAUGGAAGGCUUUGGUCUUUGAUUUGUAAUCCCAUGAAGCUUCAUAUGCAUCACGCCGAAUCUCCUCAAGCUCUUGAAUUUGCAAUUUUCUGUGAACUCCAGCCUCUUUUUCAUCAAGGUUACAUCUCUUCACAGCCCAAUAGGCUUUAUGUUCAAGUUCCACAGGUAGAUGGCAGGCUUUCCUAUAAAUCAGCCUAUAUGGAGACAUCCCAAUUGGAGUCUUAUAUGCUGUCCUAUAUGCCCAUAAGGCAUCAUUGAGGCGUGCACUCCAGUCCUUGCGAUUUGGGCAGAUCGUUUUCUCCAAGAUGGACUUGAUCUCCCUAUUUGACACUUCGGCCAGCCCAUUCGUUUGAGGGUGAUAGGCAGUGGAGGUUCUAUGGAUGACAUGGUGCUUCUUGAGGAGAGUUUCUACCACCUUGUUGCAAAAAUGGGUCCCUCGGUCACUGAUUAUGGCCUUGGGCAGACCAAAUCUUGAGAAAAUGUGGGAUUUUACAAAGUCACAAACUGUUUUAGCAUCAUCAGCCCUUGUUGCCUUGGCUUCAAUCCACUUGGACACAUAAUCCACAGCUAGGAUUAUGUAGGUGUUGCCAAAGGAAGGUGGAAAUGGCCCUAUGAAGUCAAUACCCCAUAUGUCAAAGAUUUCACACACCAUGAUGGGGGCUUGUGGCAUUUCACUGCGGUUGCCAAGGUUUCCCGUUUGUUGGCAUCUUGCACAUGACCUACAAAAUAAAUAAGAAUCUCUGAAGAUGUUAGGCCAAAAUAACCCACAUUCAAGUAUUUUCAAGGCUGUCUUGCGUGGCCCAAAGUGUCCUCCACAACUGUAAGAGUGGCAGAAAGUUAGGACAGAAGAAAUCUCAUGAUUUGGGAUGCAUCUCCUUAUGACUUGGUCUGCACAAUGCUUCUAUAGGUAAGGCUCAUCCCACACAUAAUACCUUGCAUCUUUCUUGAUCUUGUCUCUCAUGUGUUUGGGCAAAUCAGUGGGCAAAUUACCUGUGGCAAGGAAAUUAGCAAUAUCAGCAUACCAUGGUUCUUCUUCUUGGACAACAAAGAGGUGCUCAUCGGGGAAGGUCUCAUUGAUGGGGCAUGGCUCCAUUUCUGAAAAAAUUCUGCUGAGGUGGUCAGCCACAAGGUUCUCCUUUCUCUUCUUGUCAUGAAUCUCCAAGUCAAACUCUUGUAGCAACAAUAUCCAGCGUACUAGCCUUGGUUUGGACUCCUUUUUCUUGAUUAAAUACCUCAAUGCAGCAUGAUCUGAGUAUAUAAUCACCUUUGUCCCAAGUAGAUAGGACCAAAACUUCUCCAAUGCAAACACAACAGCCGGCAACUCUUUUUCCGUGGUUGAAUAAUUGCAUUGUGCAGCAUCUAGGGUGCGUGAGGCAUAGUGAAUGACAUGAGGAUUGUUUCCUUUUCGCUGUCCCAAUACUGCACCUACAGCAAAGUUGCUGGCAUCACACAUGAUCUCAAAUGGAAGUGUCCAAUCAGGUGGCUGGAUGACUGGGGCAGAAAUUAGCAGUGAUUUGAUCAAAUCAAAAGCUGUUUUGCAGCUGUCAUCAAAUUCAAAUGGGACAUCCUGCUGUAAUAACCUGCACAAAGGCUGUGUUAUCUUGGAGAAAUCCUUGAUGAACCUCCUGUAAAAACCAGCAUGUCCAAGGAAUGAUCUAAUCUCCCUAAUGCUGGUUGGAUAGGGCAGAUUUUUGAUGGUGUCAAUUUUGGCUUUGUCCACCUCAAUCCCUUUUGCUGAAACAAUAUGGCCCAAGAUUAAGCCAUGGCUGACCAUGAAGUGGCAUUUCUCGUAGUUGAGAACUAGAUUUGUCUCCAAACACCUCUGAAGUAUCUUCUCCAAGUUGGCUAGGCAUUCGUUGAAUGAGUUGCCAUACACCGUAAAGUCAUCCAUGAAGACUUUAAUAAUUUUCUCCACAUAAUCAGAAAAAAAUACUCAUCAUGCACCUUUGGAAAGUGGCUGGUGCAUUGCAAAGACCGAAGGGCAUCCUCCUAAAUGCAAAGGUGCCAAAUGGACAUGUAAAGGUGGUCUUUUCUUGAUCUUCAGGUGCAACGAGAAUUUGAUAAAAUCCCGAAUAUCCAUCUAGGAGGCAGUAAUGACUUUUUCCAGCAAGUCUUUCAAGCAUUUGAUCCAUAAAUGGCAAGGGAAAGUGGUCCUUCCUUGUGGCUGUGUUGAGCUUCCUAUAGUCCAUGCAAACUCUCCACCCAUUUUGCACACGAGUGGGUACUAACUCACCUUCAGAAUUGGGGACAAUAGUAAUCCCUGUCUUCUUUGGUACCACAUGGAUGGGACUCACCCAUUUGCUAUCAGAAAUGGGGUAGAUCACCCCAAUAUCUAAGAGUUUCACUAUCUCCUUCUUUACAACCUCCAUCAUUGGUGGAUUUAGCCUUCUUUGAGCCUCACGAACAGGUUUGCACUCAUCCUCCAUAAGUAUUCGAUGCAUGCAUGUUGAGGGUGAUAUGCCUUUGAUGUCCUCCAAGGUCCAACCAAUUGCUUUCUUGUGCUUCCUCAACACAUCAAGGAGCUUUUCCUCUUCUUCUUGGCUUAGCUGGUUGGAAAUAAUUACUGGAAGUGUAUUUCCAGCUCCCAAGUAGGCAUAUUUGAGGUGGCUGGGCAAUGGUUUCAGUUCUGGUGCAGUUGCUGUUUGUGCUGAUUUCUGCUGUUUGCUGUCUGAUUUGGGCUGUGAUUUGAGCAGAUUAUCUGGUGAACUGGGCAAAUGACUCUCUUUCAAGUCUGUCUGCUCCAGUGAUUUGGUCUGUGAUUUGAGCAGAUUAUCUGGUGAACUGGGCAAAUCACUGGGCAAAUCGCCCACAUCCAGCAAGUUACAGCAGUCUGCUGUUUUUUCUGCUUCAGUGAUGUUGCUGUCCAUUUCUCCUUUCCAGCAAAGACCAUCAUAAAGUAAAUUUUCUUGAUCAAAAUCAAAAAUUUCUUGGCUUAAAUCAUCAAUAACAUCAAGGCCAUAAAUGUAAUACCCGGCUAGACUCCGGUAUCGGAAUUCCUACCGUCCGGUGGAAUCUUGGAUGUCGGAAGUCUCUAGUAGGGUAGAAACAUGUUUUCAUAAAAUGUUUUAAGGUAUUUCAUGGUUUUAAGUAUGAAAUUAAAUGAGUUUUAUAUGAAAAGUUUUUGGAGGAAAAUCCAGGUUCGGCCGCCGAAAGUCAAGUUCGGCCGCCGAACAUGGCAUGCAUGCGGAGGCACAUUCGGCCCCCGAACGUGGCCUGGCCAACCACCUAUAAAAGGGUCCCUUAGGUCCGCACGGGCGAGCUUUUUCUCCCCCGUUGACGGCCAAGGUGAGUCUCCGCCACCCCUCCCUCGAUCUUGAGUGUUUUCCUUAAAUCUUCCAUGAUUUUCACGGGUUUUAACUUCUGUUUUGAAGAUCUGUGAGUAAAGAGCAAGUUUUGGGUACUUGGAGGUUCAAAGAGCUCAAUCUCUCUAUCUCCAAGCUAGGAUCGCCUUUCCUCUCGUUUCUUCAAGAGGUAAGCUCGGAUCCACCCUUGUUAUGUGUUUUAAACAAGCAUUAAGUUGUUUUAUGGGUAGAGAUGCAUGUUUAGGCUUGUUGAUGAGUUUGUGGGUUUUGAUGUUUUGAUACAAUGUAUGUUGAUUUUUGUGUGUUUGAAGUGUUGUAGUUGGGGUAUAUGCUAGUUUGAGACCCCUAGGUGUAAUGUAUGAUAUGUAUGCAUGUUUUAGAACUAGUUUAUGCAUGAUUUGAGGUUUUGGGAGGCAAGAGGUUCAUUUGAACCAAGUUUCUGCCCAUUUGGGAGAAACCAGGUUCGGCAGCCGAAGGAACUUUCGGCCGCCGAACCCCCUUGUGGAGGCAGCAUUCGGCUGCCGAAGCUUGCCCCCGAAAAGAGACUUUCGUCUCUGUCUGGGACUUUCGGCCGCCGAAGGUGCCGCCGAACAUGCAUGAGUUUCGCCUCUGUCUGGGAGUUUCGGCCGCCGAAGGUGCCGCCGAACCUGCCUGACUUUCGGGUCUGGAGGGACUUUCGGCCGCCGAACCUGCCGCCGAAAGUGCCCUGUCCAGCCAUUCUUGCAUGUUUUUAUGUAAUUGUUUUAUGAUGUUUUAGGGGGUUUUUUUUGGGGAAUAGUUUAGAGUUAUGUUCAGGUAUGUUUGGUCCCUCAUUGGAGUCCACCUGUGUAGGUUCGGACCCGAGGAACCGAGGACCCCAGCAGUGAGCCAGUUGCUACAGAGUUUGUCAGAGCUAGCCAGAGGUGAGUGGAAUAAACCUUAAGUUUUAAAUUAAAUGAAAUAUGAAUUUUGAGCAUGAUCCAUGCAUCAUGAAUGCCAUGAGAUAUAGUAGGUUGUUUGCAUUAGUAUUCACGAAUAUGUUGCAUUGCAUUUAUGAUGUUGAUGUGGAUUGGUUAUUGGAUGAUCCUUUAGUCCUCAUAUGGCAUGAUGAUGUUACGACAUAAUAUGGUAUGGAAGUCCAGGUUGUACCCAUUCUACGUCCCUGGCACGAUGUAAGAGAAAGUCCAGGUUGUACCCAUUCUACGUCCCUGGCACAGUUGGACUGUAUGAUAUGUUAUGUUAAGGGAAAGACCGGUUGUACCCAUUCUACGUCCCGGCACAGUUGGACAAUGUAGAGGACUAAUGGUGACAAUACCAUCCGAGAUGUGAUUUGUUGUGAUGUGUUGCAUUUCAUGAAAGCAUGAAAUUUUAAUAUAUGAUUUCACUAUUCUGCUCACUGGGCUUUGUAGCUCACCCCUCUCCCCUAACCCCAGAUGUGCAGGUAUAGGGUAGACCAGGAGGUUAGCCAGAGUUUUGAAGUAUGUUUAUGUAAUAGUUAGAUUGUGGACAUGACAAUUGUACUAUGAUGUAAUGUAAGAGAUUACAGUAUGUUAUGUAAUGAGGUCUAUUGAGAUUAUAGAUGUGCUUGACCCUAUGAGUAUUGUAAUCCCUUGUUGAUGCAUGAUCUUAGAUAGUUGAUGAUACAGAUGUUAGCCAACUCAACACAUGUAUAUCGCCCAUUGGGGCAUUGAUGAGAUCCCACUGAGGGGUCAAGUUUAUGAUUAUGUUAGUGCAUGCACAGGUUGAGUUUGGUGUAUGAGGAAUGAAUGAAAGAAAAGUUUAAAUUUUUAUGCAUGUUGUUGAUCAUGUAUGGGAUUAUACAGGUUUACAGGUUAUUGUCAGGCUUGCUACGGGUCCCGGCGGCCUUAAGCCGAUCUGGAUCCUAGCGCCGGUAGCGGUCCGAUUUUCGGGUCGUUACAAUAAACAGGAGAAACAUCAUUGGGGAAUUUCAUGGCAUCAUAAACAUUAAAUUUGAUAACUUCCCCUUCAAACUCCAUAGUUAAUGUGCCAUCAUGCACACCAAUUUUAGUUCUUGCUGUACUUAAGAAUGGUCUUCCAAGUAGGAUAUCAGAGGUGGUGUUGCUCUUGUCUUCCUCCAUGUCAAUAACAUAAAAAUCUGCUGGAAAGACUAAUUGGUCCACUUGCACCAACACAUCUUCUAGCACUCCUUUGGGGUAGACAACGGAUCGGUCAACUAAUUGGAUCACAAUGUUGGUGCUCUUGAGUGUACCUGCAUUUAAUAAAUUAAAAAUGGAAAGAGGCAUGACAUUUAUUGAAGCUCCAAGGUCACACAUGGCCUUCUUUAUCCCUACAUUGCCUAUUUUGCAUGAAACUGCGAACAUUCCUCUAUCCUUGCAUUUGGUUGGAAGUUUCCUUUGGAUGACAGCUGAAACACACUCCCCCACACUUACCUUUUCACGUUCAGCAAGUUUCCUUCGGUUGGUGCAUAGCUCUUUGAGAAACUUGACAUAUCUUGGGAUUUGCUUUACAGCAUCAAGUAGGGGAAUGUUGAUUUCCACCUUGCGGAGUAUCUCAAGUAUCUCUUUUUCUUCUUUCUCCUUUUGGGACCUUGCAAAUCUUUUGGGAAAGGGAGGUGGUACCUUGAAUUUUUCUGCUGGUUGCUAUUUCUGCCUUUGACUAGAUUCUGCCUGAUCUGUUGAUUUGGGCAGAUCACUUUCUGCCUUCUCUGGUGAUUUGGGCAGAUUGUUUGGUAGUCUGGGCAAAUCACUGGCAAAUCGCUGCCCUGAUCACUUUCUGGCAGAUUCUCAUCAGCAACCUGUUUCUGCAAUUUUUCAGACUUUCUGUCUUCCAGCUCUUUUCCACUCCUCAAUGUGAUGGCACUAGCAUUUUUUCUUGGAUUUAUCUCAGUUUGGGAAGGUAACUUCCCUUGAGACUCAUAUUUGCUGAUUGAAGUGGCCAUUUGGCUAACUUGUUUCUCAAGAUUUUGCACGGUAUUUGCUAAAUUCUUCACAAUCUCUUCAAGAGCUGCAUUGGAGUUCUGUGGUGCAGCUUGAGCUUGGUUCCUUUACUGGUAGCUUGGAUAUUGAUUUCCCCUUGCAUAACUGAAAUUUGGAUGGUCCCUCCAACCUGGAUUAUAUGUAUUUGAAUAGGGAUCAUACCUUCUUUGCCCAUUGAAACCUCCAACAGCAUUGACUUGCUGGUCCUCCUCUUGAAGGGAAGGACAUAGAUCAGUUGGGUGGUUGUUGGCACAUAUUCCACAUGUCUUGGGCUACUGUAUCUGCUGGACUUGUUGGGUUUGACCCACAACAAGGCUACGGACAGCAUUGGUGAGUUCAGAAAUUUGAGAUGCUAAAAUGGACGUACUCACCUCAUUUACCCUUCUUGAUGGCUGCUCUUGGUCUCCAAAUUGCUGAGAAGCUGCAGCCAUGGUGGAAAUUAAGUCCCUCAUCUCUCGAGGUGAUUUUCUUUCAAUUGAUCCUCCACAUGCUGCAUCAAUAAAUUUUCUCUCUGAGGGUAGUAAACCUCCAUAGAAGUACUCAAUGAGAGAUUGGUCAGAAAUAUCAUGUUGAGGGCAGCUUGUGCACAACUUUUUGAACCUCUCCCAGUACUCAUACAAGCCUUCAGAGUGCUUUUGCCUUAUGCCACUUAUCUCUCGACGGAUGCCUAUGGCUUUUGAGGUUGGGAAGAAUUUUCUCAAGAAUGCUCUUACCAUAUCAGCCCAUGAUGUGAUGGAUCCGAGUGACAAGUAGAAUAGCCAUUCCUUGGCAUAGUCGUCAAGGGAAAAAGGGAAGGCUCUAAGUUUGAUGUCCUCUUCUGGAAUACCAUCGGGUCUCAUGGUUGAGCACACAACAUGGAAUGCUUUCAAAUGCUUGUGAGGAUCUUCAUUCUCUAGGCCUCUGAAUUUGGGAAGGAGAUGGAUCAGACCUGUCCUUAAUUCAAAAGGUGCUGUCAAUGGGGGAUAUGCAAUGCAUAAGGGUGCUAGAUCUCCUGCUGGUUUAGCUAGCUCUCCGAGAGUCCUCUCCCGUGGCUGUGGUGCUUGGACGGGCACAUUUCUAGCUUGUAUUUCAGCUUUUACAGGUGCAGCAGGUGGUCCCGCCAUUGCUGGAUUUUCUGCCAUAACCAGAAAUUCAGUUUCAGGUGCAAAUUCAGCAGUAGUUGGUGCGGUGAUGGAAACUUCUGCUGGUGCAGAAAUUUCUGCAGCAGGGGCAGCAGUAGCUCUGUGAGAUGGUGUUGUUGAUGAAGAUGAUUUUGAGGCUUGGUUCCUCAAAUUUGCUUGCUUCCUUAAGCUCUUGGCAGUCUUUUCAAUCUCUGGGUCGUAAAGAAGAUUGUCUUUACGGCCAGACCUGGUCAUAAAGGGAAAAUACGUUAGUUUAAAUCAAUUCCCUGGCAACGGCGCCAAUUUUUGAUAGGCGGUUGUCGAAGCCGUAAAAAAUAAACCUAUUAAACAAUCAACAAUAAACUUGUAGAUAGUGGCAAUAGGGUCGAACCACAGGGAAUUGACACCAAAGAUUUUCCUAAUAAUGACUAGGUAAAGUAAAUAACAAGUAAAUAAAAGAGGGGGGGUUUUGUUUUGAUGAUAAUGAAUUAAAUGGAAAAAGAAAGCAAUAACUUAAAGAGAUGAGAAUUUCAAUAAGAGAAAAACUUCUAGUUGAAGUAUGGAUCUUUUUCAGAUUGUUUAGAAUUGAUCAUUGAUUCUUUAAUACUCCUAUUUAUCUCAAUAAAUUAGUUUAGGAUGAGGAAGACGCUUCUCACAAUCCAAAUUCCUCCUUAGUUCUAGUUUGAUUAGGAAACGUUCGCUAAUCAAACACUAACCAACAAGUUGCCAAGGAACGUCCUUGGGGCAUUGUAGCAUCGAACAACUGCUGAUUGCAUUAAGACUUAGAGAAACCCAAUUCUAUUCUUGCCAACCGCGUGGUCAAGUUUAGAUUAUGCAAUUUGAUUAAAUGUGUAUUUGAAUAACCUAAGCAAUUACGAACCUAAAUCAUUCAAACAAUAUUACUUAAGCAAUUUAAAAUUAAUGGGCCCUUAUUGAUUCUAAAAGCCAAGUAAUAAUUAUGGAAAGCCCAAAUUGCAUAAAUAUUGAAAAUAAAUAGAAGUUUGACAAUGGAUAUUAAAUCUCCCAAUUCAUCACAAAAUCUAAAAUUCACCAACUUCAACUAAAAAAGAAAGGAAAUUAGCCACUCAUGGUGGACUAAAUACACAAAAGAUGGAAAGAAAAGAAAAAGGAAGGAAGCUGCAGAAUUUCUGGAGAGUUUCUGACGAGUUGAGUUGCUCCCUAGAUGCCUUUGCUAGUUUGGAGGCUCUCCUUUUAUAGCUGAAGAAUUCUAUCCAUCUAGGGUUUUGAAAUCCCUUUUUGAUUUGGUGUUUGACUCCUCUUUUGAUGUUGAAUUUAAUUGCAAUUGGAAUUCCUUGGAUGAGAAACUCUUUCGUGGCUCUUGGUUUUAUGUUGGCAGUGAUUGGGUUGGAUUUGGACUUCUGAAAAUUCGGAUUUCUGUUUUCUGCCCAACUUCCCACUCUGCUGUCAGUUUCUGCUGUCAAAGUGAUUUGUCCGGUGAUUUGACCAGUUUCUUCAAGUGAUUGGGCAAAUCACUGACCCGAUCACUUUUUCUGUGAGUCAGUCCAAUUUUUGCUCUCUGUCUGUUUCUGCUGUCGAAGUGAUUUGCCCGGUGAUUUGAGUGUUUUGGGCAAAUCGCUGACCCAAUCACUAUUCUGUGAAUUUCUGCACUUUUUCUCCAAUUUUCCAAUUUCUUCCUUUUCUGUAAAAAUAAGAUAAAAAUCAUAAAUUAAAUUAAAAAAUGUGUAAAUAAACAAUAAUAAAUAUGAUAAAAAUGUGGCUAAAUUAAGCUUGAUCAAAUACACUGAUAUAUUCGGUACAAAUAACGCCUUCUUGAAGUAGACACCUAAAACAUGAAUUCCCCGGUUAUGAAGAACAAGCUCUAGAUAAAUCUUAUCAACCUAAUUUGCAUCAGCAGAUGGAUAAUUCUAUAGCAUAAAAAUUUAAGAAAAUAGCUCACUUCAGUUCUCGGCCAUAAUAUUUCACUUGGUGGCUUUCGCCUAAAAAUGUGUUAAACCAAUUUCAUCUGAAGAUGCUUCUUGCUCAAGAACUUACCAUGAGUAGCACAUGUUUUCAUCAGUCGUGGAAGAAGCAGCUGAGGAUCCCGUACUGACAUACAAUUGAACAAUAAUAUCUGCUUGGAUAUACACAAAACUUCAAGCUCAGUAUACACCCAGUGUUUAACCCAUAAUCAAGUUCAAAAAUUCAUAAUGCAUGUGUGCAAGCCCAUAGAAACAGAUGAAAGAAUCUUUUUAACAAGUGUACAUAGUUUAACAACAAAAUGCUAUUAGACGGUCAUGUUUAUGGACCAGUAAAUGAUUGCAGAGGUAAAUAAGAACUUAAUUCUUCUUGCUCUUGAUGCAAAAGAAAAGGUCAGGCAGGACCUUGGCCCCAUGAACAGGCUUGGUAGCGAGUAGUGACCUUCACGUUAACUAUAUAUGUGAAGGACUUCCAUUCAAAUUACUUAAUUUUUUUUAUGAAGUACAUUAUUUUGCCAACUCAUAUAGAACCUACUUCAUUUCUGCUUUCUGAGGCAUUUUCCUUGGCAUGCAAUUCAGAGUUUUUAAAUGACAAAUGCAACUUAUGUCCAAAGAAAUGGUUCUAUGCUAGCGUUGUCAGAGCUUUCUAAGUAUCAAACAUGCCAACCCAUGCGCAUGUGUGCGUCAAACCACCAUCUAAAGGAAUCCUAAGUCACCCCAUCUACUCUGCGAUGCCAGUACUCAUUGAGGGAUUAACCUUACCUAACCACCUAAACAACUGUCUUCUUGCAGAAACCUAUUUAAUUUCAACUUCAAUUUGCAUCUUCAUCUACCAGAUCCAGAAAAGCAGGAUAAGUAACAAGGUAUAGACUUCCAUAAGUACCUGCAUGAGAUUUUUCCCAGAUUUUCCAUUAUGGUACUUGUCAACACAUUCAAGCAUGGAUUGAAAAUUGUUCUGUGAUGGACAAUUCAAGGUGUUUUGUGGGUAGUCAUCUUUAAUGGCAAGAGAAAACCAUCUCGCACAUACUUCCAUGCUUUCUGGACUAUGGGCUCCAUCAAAAUAAAACACAAGAUCUCCAUCGCUCUCAUUGUUGAUACAACGAUCGGGAACAAUUUGAGCUCGCCCUUGCAGACAGGCUGUUGUUAGCCCUUUAAUAAACUGCUCAGGUAGUGAGCUCUGUUCCAUGCAGAUAACUUUAAGAAGAUGUUAUCAAGUAAAACAAAGCUUGCAAAGAGAAACAUGUACAUAACUUACGGUUUGCUCCAAGUAGGAGAUUUCAAGGUGAUCAGUCCUUUGAAGCCAUUUAGAAGAUAGUGCAACAGCAAGACCAGCAUUUAUAUACUGGUGCUCACCUUCAAGACCAAGUUUUAGACCAUUCAGCAAGUUGGAGUCUAAUGGUGGCGCCACUUGAAGAGGUACCUGCAAAAAACAUGUUUUCCUGAGUAAUACGUAGAAGGCUGUAACUUGAUCCUUUGCUAUACUGCAUAAAUGAGAUAACUUUGCCCUAUUAAGGAAACCAUUGCAGCAAGUUUUUGUGUGGACCAAUGAAUUCCCAAUUACAGGAAAGUUAUGUGGUGAUUUUCUUCAGAAAAACAGAGCACAUAGUCAAGGACUUUUUGGACACAUAGAAGAGAUUUCUGAUAUGAUAAAAGUCUCAAACUCUCAUAUAUGAGGCCAUAAUUUACCAAUGCUUAAGCUAUCAGAGAACUAAAUGCAUCUGUGGCUUGAGAGAAGAAGUAGACUGAUAAAAGCUUAUUACUUCAACCUGAUUGUUUAACGACUAAUAAGAACUCUAGUUUAAACACAAAAUUAAAUUCACAAUUUAUAAUGAUUGAUACGGAUCCAAUAGGACAAAUUUCUAACAAUGGUGUGGAGCAAACUUAUAUCAUUCCAAUGGAUCGAAGAGUAGUUCAAAAUCAUAUUCAUAUAAUCCAUAUAUAUUUGGGGCGUGCUUUAAUUCAUAUGGGACAGAUUUAGUGCAACACUUGCAAUCAUAGGCUGAGGGAGCCUAAUCAAACCUAUGGGCUAAAACUACAUAAAGGAAAGCCUAAAGUGAAGAUCAAGUAAGGCUUUUGUGAAGAUUCAAAACUUUGUUAUGAUGGGCUUACUAGUUUUAUUAUUUAAACACUUGUUUUAUUUUAGUUUUGUUUGGGCUUGUAUUCUGGCCAUAUUUUAUCUUUUAAGUUUUAGAGUGUUGGGCCAUGUUGUGGGCUUAUAUUUUAAUACCUAUGUGUUAUUUUAGUGUGUGAUUAGGCCUGGGUCUUAUGUGUUUAAGUCAGGCCCAAGAAGAGUGUCUUAGGGUUUUAUUUGUUUUUCUCCUUACUAUAUAAGGAUAAGAAACAAUUGUAAGAGGGAGCUUCUAAUCAAAUUUUCAGAAUUAUUUUCAUGCCUUUGGCGUGUAUUGCUUUGAGUGAGAGUAAGGAUUUGCUUUCAUCAAUUGCACCAGGAAUCUUGGCUAACUUAUCAACUAUUCGUUGUGGCGUUUGUCGGAUUCUCAUCUAAAUCCUUCAAUCAUUGGUGUUUCAGCUUCUCUAAGUGUGGGGUGCCAUAGGAGGUGGGUUUAUCAUAUCUUUGGAUUCCAUAUCUACUUGUGCGUGUGGGUUUGAGGCUUGUGCCAUAGAGAUUUCUGAUAUGAUAAAAGUCUCAAACUCUCAUAUAUGAGGCCAUAAUUUACCAAUGCUUAAGCUAUCAGAGAACUAAAUGCAUCUGUGGCUUGAGAGAAGAAGUAGACUGAUAAAAGCUUAUUACUUCAACCUGAUUGUUUAACGACUAAUAAGAACUCUAGUUUAAACACAAAAUUAAAUUCACAAUUUAUAAUGAUGGACCAAUUCACAUAAGACUGAGAUGAGAACGUCAUGAAUGUUGACUGGCAAACAUCGAUCUUUAUCAUUUGAACUUUGAAGCCAAAGUUUCAGCAAGCGUUUCUUAAGUUAUGUAGAAUUGUAGAUAAUAAAACUAAGUGGUGCAUGAACUGUGCUACUUACAUCUCGCUUAGAAGCCUUCUCUUCAAGCACAUGCAUUGCUUCAUCAGGUUGAGGCACUGUGAAUGGUGGAACCCCAUGCUGUAUUCAAAAGAGGGAACAUGAAUUAAAAUGAAAAAUUAAAGAAAAUAACAGUAAUGGUUAGUCAAACUGGAUUAAGCUAAGAAGCAAAACCCUUGGCAUAGAUUAUAUGCCUGAAUGAGUAGUAGCUACAAAGAACACCUUAAAGAUGCCAGCCUUCUCUCCAGCAAUUUCUCCGAGAGUAUUUCCUGUCAAAGCAUUAUGUUAUGAGAUCUAAAAAGGUUUGGAAAUGCAUGACACUAAACUCUAAUACAAGUCUAUCUGCAGAGUAUGUGAAUGUGACAAACUCUGGAUUGAGGAUACGGUAAUUAAAUAAUGUCAACCAAUUAUUUAGGGACUUUUUUAGUUCUGAAAUUAACUAAAAAUUAACUAAAUGUUAAACAACUAUGAGCAAUCACCUAACUUAAAAUAACUAGAUGAACUAACCAAGAAUCUCCAUGUGAUCAUAUCCAAGGGAAGAGAUACCACACACAACAGGUGUUUGAACCUGAAAUAUGAUGCUGUGUCAACUCACUUUAGUUGUAAGACAGAAAUAAAAGGAUUUCCAGCAUGAAGAUCUCAACAUAAAGCAGUAUUUGUUUCUCAAUAAACUGCUUCUUUCAAAUAAGUAUUACACAUACCACAUUUGUUGCAUCAAACGUUCCGCCUAAUCCAACCUCCAAAAUAGCAACAUCUACCUGCAUAUGUAGAUUUAGUAAAUCUGAAUCCGAUCUUCAUCAGAAAUAAAACUCAUACAUGUGCAAAGUCCAAAUAGAGAGAGGACGUUAAUGAAGUUGAAAACUGUGCAUAUCAAACCUGCUCUGCUGCAAAUAUCUUGAAGGCAAGCAAGGCGAGAAAGCGGAAGUAAGUAGGCAUUGGUAUAUCUUCAGUAGUUUUUUCCUACACAAAAACUUUCAAUUGAACACCAGAGAAAUCAUUGCCCACAGAUAAACACGUACAAUUUCAUGCAUGCAUACACACACAUAGAGAUUUUAAGUAAAAUAGAGAACAUCUUUUCCAUCCAUGAUUAUACAUGAUAUGAUAGCAUGACGUUCAAGAAAAUGAAUAAGUGGUUUUCUUCAGCCAUUAUGUUUAGCUACAGUUUCACCAUUAUCUUAUGAUAAUAAAUUCUGCAGGUACAUUGAAGUGUAACCUAUAUCCAUAAAAGUAUACAGAAGUGAACCACUUAAGAGAAGAUAAAAUUGAUAUCAUAAGAUAUCAAUUACAGAAAUAGAAAAAGUAUCAUAGAAAUCAUCUUCCCUGCAAAUAUCCAUCAAACCAAAUGUUUUUACAUCCCUCACUAUCCCCAACCACAACACAGAAAGGCAGCAAGCAAAGAAGAACAGCUUUCCGAUUGUAUAUUAUAUCCCUUAUCGCCAAAUCUUCCCCUACAAUUGAUGAAAACUUGAAAUCUGAACCCAAUGAUAAUCUAAGAUUACCAAGUAACCCGUGUAUACAACAUUAUGCUCUUCAUGGUGGCACUGAUACAGAGCAAUAUACAAUCAUGGAUUACCACCAGUCCUUCGCUCUUGUGCAUAAAGCAAUAAGUUACCAUAAUCUUUAUUUUCUUGGAUUAAAUUAUUAAACUUUUCAGCUCUUUCCAUGUCAAAAAAAUUGCUACUUCAAUAGGAACCUGCUUAUGUCAAUCCAAGUAAACUAUUGAACAAAACCAUAUUCAAUACAAUUUUCUCUUCCUCAGUUGGGACCCUCACAAACUAAAUAACUAGAAAGAAUCAACCUUAUUCAUAUUCUUAAUUACACAUCCAAUUAACAUAUGCAAUCAUGUAGAUAUCUGAAAUAUCAUAUUACUCUUCAGAUUCCUUUCUAAUUAAUCUAGACAUCAUUCACUCAAAGCAACUGAUUCAAUGCAAACCAAAUAAAAUUUUAAACUGAAAACAGUAUUUUUUUUAAAAAAAAAAAACAGACAACAGAAACAAAUCUUGUUCUUUUCAAUAAUGAAAUCUGAGCAGCCAAGGUUUGGUUUGGUCUAACUUCAAGCAAAAUGGAACUGACUCUUUCAAUUCCUUUCCGGAACUAAAGUAAAUCAUCAACACUUCCAUCGUUUCAUGGAACAUGAGCAGCAAAACUCUUCCAUUAAAAGUUCAAUUGCCUCAGAUUUCUCACAAUUUGUUAAAUAACUUACCUAUACACCACAAUUUGAUGUUAGGCAUAUUGUACAUCAAGUCAAGCAUCCACAUACUAAAAUGCAUUUCUAACGAAUCUUAGCUGCAUCAAGGUAGGAAGAGUUAACAAAAAAAUUAUGUUACCUUCAGUCUAUCAUAACACCACCAAAAGUAUGCCAAAAACUUUUCUUCACAAAUGUCCUCACUGCAACAGUCAACAAGAAACCACAAAAUCUUAAACUAGGAUGAAAAUGAUGUACAAGUACAACCAUCCAAAGGCAAAAUAUUAUCACCUAAAGAACGGAAACUGAGUGGAAAUUCAAAUACUGUAAGAAAAUCAUAUUUAUUUUGUUUAAGGAACAUGGACAAGUGUGCCUUUCUCCUAUGUACACCAAAAUAAAGGUUCUUUUUCUCUCCUCUCUGGCUCUUUCAUUCUCUCAAAUGGAGACUAACAAGAUCAUUAGAGUAGGCACGAUAAGAACAUAUUUAACACUCACUUAAUGGCCUCUCUCCAUAUUCUGCAGGAAUUCAUCACCAGAGAGGACUGGCAAGUUUCAGAGAUUUAUCAUUUGGCACCAUCUGUGCAAAUUGAACCCAUGACCACAUGAACAUGGUGACACCUAAAUCUAAGAAAUAAAACUAAAAAUGGAAAAGAUAUUGUAGUAUUUAAUUCAUACUAUAUGUGAUUAUAAACAAUAAUGGGAGUAUAAGCGCUGAUCUCUUAUUGUUAAUGUGUGAGACCUUAAAGAUUAUCAUUAAUCUUAUUAAUAAUUUUAGGACUUUGAUAUGGUAUUUGAGACUUAAUUUAAUAUUUUUUAUUUUAAGAUAUUAUCAAAUAAUUAUGAAUGAUGCGAACUGACGAAAUAUUUCUACAAAAAUAAAUUGAAUUAAGAUUGAGAGUAUCAAGAUGUAAGGAAUACCAUAUAGACAUAUCACAUUAGUUUUGUAUUCAUUGAUCGGUCAAUUAUAUUUAUCUGUGAAUAGAUUAUAAUUAUGGACAUAUAAAAAAAUAAUUAAAAUCAUAUGGAUAUUAAAUAUGAUAAAUAAUUUAGGGUAUUAUAUAUAUUGUAAUUCUUUUGAAUUUCAUCAUUCGAGCAGUUAUAUUGACCUAACAGAAAUAGAAUAUUUGAACUUUUUAAGUAUGCAUAGGUCAUAGUCCAUUUGUUAAGUAUUAAAAUUGCAAUGUCCAUAUCAUCAUACUCUAUUAUGUGUGAGUGAUAAAUUAAAAAAAAUUAUACACCUAAGAUAAAGCCGAAAAAAAUAAAAGUCAAAAUAAAAUUUUAUAUAUCAUUGAUAAUAGCCAAUUUUAAUUUAUUUUAUAUAAAUUUUAUUUUUUAAAAAUAUGAUUUAAAAUUUAAAUCUUUACUAGUUAUAUGGUAAAACGUCAUAUACUUUCAUCUCAUUCAGAUUAUAAAUCAAGAAACUCUUUAUCCUCUUAUAAAAAAUUGCUUCUCACUCUCUGCUUAAAAAAUACGGUCUUUGUCUUCUAGUUAGUUUAUUUUCUUGUGAAUGUCGAACUAUCUUUUAAUUGCAUCGAGUUGAAACAAAAAGUGUCGGUUGUUGAAACUUGAAGGAGUAUUUUGAAUUCUUAUAAAAUACACUAUAAUUCUACGUAACUCUUGUGAAAAUAUAUUAAUGAUUUAUUAUAUCAAUUACAUAUGAAUUAUGUGAUACAAAUGAAAGUGAAAUGCGGUUGUUAUUUAUUUUAUUUUAAUUCUAAAAAAUUAAUGGAUUUUUUAUUAAAAAAAAAUUAAUGGAUUUUCGAACAGUAAAAUAAUAAUAUCUUUUCUUAUGUGGUCAUAUUUGUUUGCUCAUAUUUCUUACUUCUUACAAAUAUUUAAAACUCAUUUCUCUACUUUCUGGUGCUAUACUUUCUUCUUCCUUCGUCCUCUCAAGAUUUUUAACUACUCAAUAAAUUCUCAGCUUUUAAUUGAUUUAUCUUUCAUCUCUCACCCAUUGUAUAUUCCAUAUUCUACAUAUCUUUAUGCAACUGGAUAACGGGAUGUGUUCUUCACACGGAAAUAGUAAGCAGGGUUUUAACAAAUGAAGAAAUUUCCUCUGUUUUUUCUUUUUUUUUUUUCCCUAGUUUUUCAUAAAAACUCCAGUAACAUUCAGUUUGCUAACUUCUUGUAGCAGUUUCAAGAGUUGGUCAAAUCGUCGUUAUAAGCUUCGUUUCAAUCAUUGUUACAGAGAAGCAAAUAAAACAACUGACUUGCUUGCUAACUUGGCUGUCCAUUUGCCCAUUGGUUUGCAUCUGUUCAUGACUCCUCUGAGAGAGCAGAUUGAGGUUCUUAUUGAGAUAGGCAGGGGGUGACUUCUCUAAAUACUGAAAUCUUUUGGUUGCAGGCAGGCCUGUAUAUAAGCGAAGUGCAAAAAGAUAAUCGGUUUAGUUGAGAAACCAUUAGUACAGUUUAUGAGAAAUUAGUAUUACUGUUAGAAAAAUGAAAAAGAAAAGAUGAGAAAAAGAGUAAGACUAUCUAUGUAAAUCUAUAACAUGAAUACGUAAAAUUUUAUAUACAUCUCGUUAUAAUUUUACAUCGCAGGUCCGUAUGUUUCCCUUAAUAAUGCUCUGACAGGAAAGCUUUGUCGUGACUGGAAUUAUUGUUCUUUGUCGAUUUUUCUUUUUUCCAAGCUUUCUCCAUCAAUCACGGGAAUGAUAACAUUAUGAAAUCGGUCUCCGAGAUUUUUUUUUCAUUGGGAAACUGUCUCCGAGAUUAAGAUUAUAAAACUUCAGCCCGGGAUUAGAGGCCCAACUCCACUGUCUCGAGUUGAGCGUUGUUCAUCCAAAAUUUUACGGACAAAAGUUUAUGAUUGUUUCUGGUCGGGUAAAGAAGAAAAAACAAUGGCAGAGGUUGUCGUUGCUUUAGUGUCCAAAGAAUCGCCGACUUGCUUACUCAAGAAUUAACUUUUCUGAGAGAUGUGAAGGAAGAUGUUGAGAGUCUGCAAGGAGUACUGAGACGGAUCCAGUCUUUCUUGAAGGAUGCAGACUGCAAGCAAUAUCAAGAUGAGCGUGUUUGGAACUGGGUUGCUGAAAUCAGAGGCGUAGCUUAUGAUGCUGAGGAUGUAAUAGAAUCCUAUAUUCUUAAGAUUGCAACACGUAGAGUAGAAGGAGCACGUGGAAUCACCAAGAAGGUUAGCUCUAUUUUCACAAAAGUUCCUCGUCUCCGUGUGAUCAAGAGCCGGAUCGAAUCCAUCCGAAACAAGACUCAGGCAAUUUCUGCUAGUAUGCAGACUUUUGACAUCAAACUUGAUGCUGAAAGAGCGGUUCCAGGUUCUGCAAGUGAGAUGCAACAACGACUGAGAAGAUCCUAUCCACAUGAUGAGGACGACGUGAUCAGCUUUCACGCAAUCAGGAGGGAUAUUAACGCUCAGUUGAUGAUGGAAGUAGAGCGACGCCAGGUUGUUUCCAUAGUAGGAAUGGGGGGACUUGGUAAAACAACUCUCGCCAAGAACAUAUACAAUGACAUUAAUGUGAAGCAACACUUUGAUUGUUGUGCUUGGGUCUUCAUAUCUCAACAAUACACUGCAAGAGAUCUGUUGGUAAGAAUCUGGAUUGAUGUUGCGUCUACUACAGAUAAGUCAAAGUUGGAACAAUACACUGCAAGAGAUCUGUUGGUAAGAAUCUGGAUUGAUGUUGCGUCUACUACAGAUAAGUCAAAGUUGGAAGCAAUAAAGGAGGAAAAGCUUUUUGCAUCUACUAAUAUGGAGUCCAUGAAAGAGGAACAAUCGCUGAAAUCCAUGUUGGAAAGGAUGGAAGAGGAGGAUUUGGUUAAAAAGCUCUAUAAAGUGUUAGAGCAAAAGCGAUACUUGGUGGUGCUCGAUGAUAUUUGGAAUACUGAAGCAUGGGAUUGUUUAAAACGAGCUUUCCCAAAUGGGAAGAAAGGAAGCAAAAUUUUGUUCACAACCCGUAACAAAAGCCUUGCUUCUUAUGCUGAUCCGUCGAUAACUCCAAUGGAACCGCCAUUUUUGACAAAUAAUGAAGCAUGGGAGCUUCUCAGGAGAAAAGCAUUUCCCGUCGAGCAGAGUUGCCCACGAGAUCUUGAGAUUUUGGGGAGGGAAAUGGUGAAAAAAUGUGGAGGAUUGCCCUUAGCUGUUGGUGUACUUGGUGGGAUAUUGGCAACAAAAAAAUCUUUGAAUGAGUGGAAGACAGUUCAGAAAAACGUUAAUGCACACUUUGCUAUGUUGGAACGAAAAAAUCAAUAUGGAGGAGUGUAUGGGAUAUUAGCUAUGAGCUACCAUGAUUUGCCUUAUCACUUGAAGCCAUGCUUCCUCUAUCUUUCCCAAUUUCCAGAGGAUUGGGAGUUUCACAAGAGGACACUAAUUCGAAUGUGGAUUGCUGAAGGCUUUAUAGCACAAUCGCAGGAUUCAGCAAACCAAACAAUGGAAGAUGUGGCUGAAAUAUAUUUGGAAGAGCUUGUAAGCAGGUGCAUGGUUCAAGAAACUGAAAGGGACCACACUGGAAUUCAUGUCAAAAUUUGCCGCAUCCAUAGUCUGAUGCGAGAUACCUGUAUAUCAAAGGCAGGAGAUGAGCAUUUCGCUGGAGGCAUUGAACACCGAGACGAGUUUGCAACAAACACUAAAUCUCGCUUUUUGAAGUCCGCAACGAGCCAGCCACGAAGAAUUGCUGUUCAUCCUCGUAUCGAUGGAGACAAUGCUGGUAAGAGAUUCUAUGUGCCGUUGGUAAAAUGUGGUGAUCCACAUCUUCGUUCCCUUCAUUACUUUGUUGAUCAAGACAAAUAUCGUAUGACUAGGGGGCAAGAAAUUUACAUUCUCAGCCAUUUUCGACUGCUUAGAAUCUUAAAUCUUGAGAAUAUAUAUCUGAGCAAAUAUCAUGUACCUGGAGAUAUUGGCAAUUUGAUUCACUUAAGAUAUCUUGGAUUGAGAAAUACUGGAUUAUGGGUAACAACGAAGUAUCUGUUUGUGGUCUCCACUUCUUUACCACCAUCCAUAGGUAACUUGAAGAGUUUGUACACCCUUGACGUACGAAAAAAUUCUUUGGAAACCUUACCUGAUGUGCUGUGGAAAUUAGAAAAUUUGAGACAUUUGUUAGUAGAGCCUGAAGUUGAUGGGCAAUUGCGGCUGGAUACAUUAACACACUUGGAGACUUUGAAGUGGGUACGAGCUAAGAAUCUAAUUGCAAACAAUGCAUUGUGCAAAUUGACUAAUGUUCGAAAUUUAGGAAUAUAUUUCAAAGAAACACAGGAAGUGGAUGUUGUCCUAAAAUCUCGCAUUUUUGAACAAGGCCGUCUUAGUAGCUUGAAGAUGUCGAUCUCAGAAGAGGGUUCAUUUCCAAAUUUGGAAUCACUUUCACGUUGUGAUCAUCUUACGAAACUAGAGUUACAAGGAAAAAUACUAGAAGAUCCCGAAGAAUCACUCCGUCACAAUCUGAAAUUCCUGCCAGAAAGCCUCACCAAGUUAACUUUGUCUCAUUCUCUGUUAAAGCAAGAUCCAAUGUGUAUUCUGGGAAAUAAGUUGCAUAAUUUGAGGUUUCUGUUCCUGCAUACAUUAUCUUACGAGGGUUCUGAACUUGUGUGCUCUGCGAAUGGAUUUCCGAGACUUGAGAUUCUUACAAUUGAAGAGUUAGAAUUAGAAGAAUGGCAAAUAGAGGAAGGUGCAAUGCCCUGUCUCAGGACUUUAAAAAUAAAGGCUCUAGAUAAACUGAGGAUGAUUCCAGAAGGUUUCAAGUUCCUCGUUAGCCUCCAAGAAUUGAAAAUCAUCGACAUGGCAGCAUUUGCAAAGAGGGUUCAAGUGAUUGAUGGAGUAGAAGGAGAGGAUUUUGACAAGGUGCAGCACAUAGGCAUCCAUGUCAUUUGACUAUUCAUGGGGAUGCAAGGUAAUUUUAUUUUAACUUUUUGACUUAGUUAGCACAUAAGUCUUAAUUUAAGCUCAAAUUACCUGAAAAUUCAAGAAAUUAUAUUUUUUAUUUUUGCACUAAAUCAAAAAAUCAAGAGAAAAAAAAGAAAUUUCCAAUAUUACCCAUGAGUUAAAUGAGAUAUGCAAGUUUAACUAAAAGAAUCUUUCUUUUUGGUCAUAGGUUGAUGAAUUGGAAACGGACUCGGAAGACUCGAUGGAGGAGUGACCAUGUUGCUGAAAGUGCCAAAGUUACCGUCUUCACAUCACAAGCUUUGUUCUUGUGUUGCAUAAUUGAUCACAUCCAUCUGAUCCUACUCCAAUACUGUCACUGUAAAAUUUUCUUUUCACGUUGUAAUGCAAAUUCCUGACAGAUUUUUACUUGUUAUCAGAGUGGUGAUUUUAAAUUUUUGAUGAUAAUAGAGAGAUGAACAAUGAAUCUCAUGCAACGGAUGGAUAUAGGUUAAAUAGAGACACAGCUGAACAGUGAUGGACCUUUCUAAAAAUGUUAAUAUGGAAGUGUGUGUAUGCGUAUAUAUUGAACUUCUUGUAAUAUUUUAUUCAUGAAAUAAAAUAGCAUUUUUCCUUUCUUCUCAAUUCUUAUUUUUGUACAAUUUUUAAAUUUGAUUAGAUAUAUAUAAUUUUUAAAUUAAAUAUUUUUUAUCUAAUGAAAAACAAUCUUUAGAAGUUAUUUGCGAGUUAGGUUUCCACCUAUUUAAGAAUUUAAAAACCUCCAAACUAAGUUGAUGGAUUAAGAAAAUUUUCCUUUAAAGAAUUUUUAAUAUUUCAAACAAGAUUUUUCUUUCAAUAAUAAAAAAAUUAAUAACAAAAAAAAAAUCAUAUAUUUUUUAUUUUAUNNNNNNNNNNNNNNNNNNNNNNNNNNNNNNNNNNNNNNNNNNNNNNNNNNNNNNNNNNNNNNNNNNNNNNNNNNNNNNNNNNNNNNNNNNNNNNNNNNNNNNNNNNNNNNNNNNNNNNNNNNNNNNNNNNNNNNNNNNNNNNNNNNNNNNNNNNNNNNNNNNNNNNNNNNNNNNNNNNNNNNNNNNNNNNNNNNNNNNNNNNNNNNNNNNNNNNNNNNNNNNNNNNNNNNNNNNNNNNNNNNNNNNNNNNNNNNNNNNNNNNNNNNNNNNNNNNNNNNNNNNNNNNNNNNNNNNNNNNNNNNNNNNNNNNNNNNNNNNNNNNNNNNNNNNNNNNNNNNNNNNNNNNNNNNNNNNNNNNNNNNNNNNNNNNNNNNNNNNNNNNNNNNNNNNNNNNNNNNNNNNNNNNNNNNNNNNNNNNNNNNNNNNNNNNNNNNNNNNNNNNNNNNNNNNNNNNNNNNNNNNNNNNNNNNNNNNNNNNNNNNNNNNNNNNNNNNNNNNNNNNNNNNNNNNNNNNNNNNNNNNNNNNNNNNNNNNNNNNNNNNNNNNNNNNNNNNNNNNNNNNNNNNNNNNNNNNNNNNNNNNNNNNNNNNNNNNNNNNNNNNNNNNNNNNNNNNNNNNNNNNNNNNNNNNNNNNNNNNNNNNNNNNNNNNNNNNNNNNNNNNNNNNNNNNNNNNNNNNNNNNNNNNNNNNNNNNNNNNNNNNNNNNNNNNNNNNNNNNNNNNNNNNNNNNNNNNNNNNNNNNNNNNNNNNNNNNNNNNNNNNNNNNNNNNNNNNNNNNNNNNNNNNNNNNNNNNNNNNNNNNNNNNNNNNNNNNNNNNNNNNNNNNNNNNNNNNNNNNNNNNNNNNNNNNNNNNNNNNNNNNNNNNNNNNNNNNNNNNNNNNNNNNNNNNNNNNNNNNNNNNNNNNNNNNNNNNNNNNNNNNNNNNNNNNNNNNNNNNNNNNNNNNNNNNNNNNNNNNNNNNNNNNNNNNNNNNNNNNNNNNNNNNNNNNNNNNNNNNNNNNNNNNNNNNNNNNNNNNNNNNNNNNNNNNNNNNNNNNNNNNNNNNNNNNNNNNNNNNNNNNNNNNNNNNNNNNNNNNNNNNNNNNNNNNNNNNNNNNNNNNNNNNNNNNNNNNNNNNNNNNNNNNNNNNNNNNNNNNNNNNNNNNNNNNNNNNNNNNNNNNNNNNNNNNNNNNNNNNNNNNNNNNNNNNNNNNNNNNNNNNNNNNNNNNNNNNNNNNNNNNNNNNNNNNNNNNNNNNNNNNNNNNNNNNNNNNNNNNNNNNNNNNNNNNNNNNNNNNNNNNNNNNNNNNNNNNNNNNNNNNNNNNCUUUGUUCUUGUGUUGCAUAAUUGAUCACAUCCAUCUGAUCCUACUCCAAUACUGUCACUUUAAAAUUUUCUUUUCACGUUGUAAUGCAAAUUCCUGACAGAUUUUUACUGUGUUAUCUGAGUGUUGAUUUUAAAUUUUCGAUGAUAAUAGAGAGAUGAUCAACAAAUCUUAUGCAAAGGAUGGAUAUAGGUUGAAUAGAGACACAGGUGGACAGUGAUGGACCUUCCUAAAAAUGUUAAUAUGGAAGUGUGUGUAUGUGUAUCAGAUCAUGAACUCUGCAUCUUUUCACACCUAUUCCAGUGUGAUCUCUUUCGCUUACUUGAACCAUACACCUACUUGUCAGCUCUUCCAAAUAUUCUUCACCCACAUCUUCCAUCGUCUCUUCUUCUCCACCUAUUGAUGGUUGCAAUAUGAAGCCUUCGGCAAUCCACAUUCGAAUCAAUUCCCUUUUCCCAAACUCCCAGUCCUCUGGAAAUUGAGAAAGAUAGAGAAAGCAUGGCUUCAAAUGGAAAGGCAAGUCGUCGUAGCUCAAACCUAAUAUCCCAUACACUCCUCCAUAUUGAUGUCGUUGUUCCCACUUGAUAAAGUGUGCAAUAAUAUUUUCAUGCACACUAUUCCACUCCUUUAAUGACUUCUUAGUUGCCAAUAGGCCUCCAAGUACAACAAUUGCUAAUGGCAAUCCUCUGCAUUUUUUCACCAUUUCCCUUCCUAAUUUCUCAAAUUCUGGUGGGCAACCAUCCUCUAUAAGAAUAUCUUUUGGGAAUGUUUUCCUUUUAAGAAGUUCCCAGCCUUCGUCGUCCUUCAACAGUGGUGGUUCCACCACUGAGCUCUGUGGAUCAGCAUGAGAAGCGACCACCGUGUUUCGGGUGGUAAAUAAAACUUUGCUUCCUCUCUUACCAUUUGGAAAAGCAGGUUUCAAAUAAUCCCAGGCCUCAGUUGUCCAAAUAUCAUCAAGAACCACAAAGUAACGCUUCUCUAUUAACGUACUAUGAAGUCUUCUAAUCAGAUCUUCCUCUUUCAUCCUUUCCAACAAACACUUGAAUUCUUCAUCUUCCUUCAUCUUUCCCACCUUGGAUUUAAGUGGUUGUCCCCCUUUCAUAUCUUCCAAUAACUUUGCUUUAUCUUCGUUGGAUGCAGCAUCCAUAAGGAUUCGAACGACAACUUCCUUGACAGAGAAUUGCUGAGAUAUGAAGAUCCAAGAUUGGAAAUCGAAGUUUUGCUUCACAUCAACGUCAUUGUAUAUCUUCUUGGCAAGAGUGGUUUUGCCUAGCCCUCCCAUCCCCACUAUGGAAACAACACGGACUUGCUCUUCCUCCAUCAUCAACCGCGCUUUAAGAUCACUUAUUACAGCCUCCAAACAAAUGACAUACUCUUCCUCAGCAUGUGGAUCCGGUCUUCUGUAUCGUUGUUGUCUCUUAUAAUUAGUUCCUUCUCCCUCAACAAGUUGGAUGCCGUAGGUCUGCAUACUUUUGUUUAUAUCUUCCAUCUUAGAUCGGAUAUAUGUGAUCUGGGUUCCUAUUCUGUGGAGAUAGGAAGCCUUAGUGAACAUGAAAAAAGCCUUGUUAAUGAACCCGCGUACACCUUCUCCUCUACCCCUUGCAACUUU
RNAcentral lists this long non-coding RNA (28143 nucleotides) under Manihot esculenta (cassava). Its description in RNAcentral is "long non-coding RNA (MESC_LNC005763)". Lineage: Eukaryota; Viridiplantae; Streptophyta; Magnoliopsida; Malpighiales; Euphorbiaceae. The record is from RNAcentral.